GCCUUGUAGUAUGCGAAUUAAAAGCCUGAUAUUUAAGUGGAAACGGUAAAAAGGAUGAAUCCAUUAUUUCCAAGUUUGGAAGGAUACAAUUGGUCUUAAGGGUUGCCACCCACAUCCAAAAGAAAAGGCAGUCCACUAGCCUCCACCAUAAUUAAGGCCUGAUACAUGAUCUUGGUGAAAGAUGAUAAAUAUCCCGUAAAAUUAGUCGAAGUACACAUAAAUUAACUCGAUCACUGAGUGGUGUUGGAUAACAUCAAAUAGAGAGAAAAAGAUGGAAUUUGCUUCUUUUUUUCUCUCUCUAUUUGUAAGAUCUGAUCUGAUCUGAACAGGAAACCUGAUUCCACCAAUCAUCUUCUUCUUCAGAAAUUAGGCCAAUUAGAUUCUUCCACUAAAUACAUUAACAAAACCCUAUCCUUUUCUUCUUUCGAUUCCGUUCACACCUUUGCCGUUUUCUCCUCUCUUA
RNAcentral lists this unclassified non-coding RNA (463 nucleotides) under Hevea brasiliensis (rubber tree). Lineage: Eukaryota; Viridiplantae; Streptophyta; Magnoliopsida; Malpighiales; Euphorbiaceae. The record is from RNAcentral.